CCUACGGGAGGCAGCAGUGAGGAAUAUUGGUCAAUGGGCGCGAGCCUGAACCAGCCAAGUAGCGUGAAGGAUGACGGCCCUACGGGUUGUAAACUUCUUUUAUAGGGGAAUAAAAUGUACCACGUGUGGGAUUUUGUAUGUACCAUAUGAAUAAGGAUCGGCUAACUCCGUGCCAGCAGCCGCGGUAAUACGGAGGAUCCGAGCGUUAUCCGGAGUUAUUGGGUUUAAAGGGAGCGUAGGUGGAUUGUUAAGUCAGUUGUGAAAGUUUGCGGCUCAACCGUAAAAUUGCAGUUGAAACUGGCAGUCUUGAGUCCCGUAGCGGUGGGCGUUAUUCGUUGUGUAGCGG
This 346-nucleotide ribosomal RNA is filed under the name uncultured bacterium. RNAcentral describes it as "partial 16S ribosomal RNA". It matches the Rfam family "Bacterial small subunit ribosomal RNA", at positions 338 to 681 of the family's 1533-position model. The record is from RNAcentral.